GUAUUAAUUGCGUGUUAUCGCAAGAGACAUUCUACACUGUAUCGAGUUUGUGUGAAAACGCGAGCCCCCUCCGAGAUGAUCCCAAAGGGUGCCCACGCGGUGAUGCACAAAGGGUGAGAUGGAUUAUUAUGUGAGGGAACACACCCGGGCGUGCACGACUUUGGGUCAGCGACAGCCCUUGCAUGCCCCUCACAUUUUGUACGAUAAUGAUCCUUCCGCAGGUUCACCUACGGAAA
RNAcentral lists this unclassified non-coding RNA (236 nucleotides) under uncultured fungus. RNAcentral's name for it is "sequence contains ITS1". Lineage: Eukaryota; Fungi. The record is from RNAcentral.